GACGAACGCUGGCGGCGUGCCUAAUACAUGCAAGUUGAGCGAACAAGCUUGGUGCUUGCUCCUAUUUGGAGAGCAGCGGACGGGUGAGUAACGCGUGGGUAGUCUGCCUUUGAGAGGGGGACAACAUCUGGAAACGAAUGCUAAUACCGCAUAACAUCUUUAACCAUAUGGUUUAAGUUUGAAAGAUGCAAUUGCAUCACUCAAAGAUGAUCCCGCGUCGUAUUUGCUAGGUGGUGAAGUAAAGGCUCAACAAAGCGAUGAUACCAAGCCGACCUGAGAGGGGGGACGGCCACAAUGGGACUGAGACACGGGCCAAACCUCUUAGGGAAGCAGCAGGAGGGAAACUUCGGCAAAGGGGGGAAGGCUGACCGGGGCACGCCGCGGGAGGUGAUAAGGGUGUCGGAUCGGAAAAAUCCGUUGGUAGGGAAGAAAGAUAGUUAGAGUGGAAAGCGCAUAAAGUGACGGUAACUACUCAGAAAGGGACGGCUAACUACGUG
This 497-nucleotide ribosomal RNA is filed under the name uncultured bacterium. Its description in RNAcentral is "partial 16S ribosomal RNA". It matches the Rfam family "Bacterial small subunit ribosomal RNA", at positions 28 to 507 of the family's 1533-position model. The record is from RNAcentral.